This 1030-nucleotide long non-coding RNA is filed under the name Equus caballus (horse). RNAcentral's name for it is "lncRNA (ENSECAG00000047819.1)". The record is from RNAcentral. Lineage: Eukaryota; Metazoa; Chordata; Mammalia; Perissodactyla; Equidae.
GUGUGCCUACAUGUAUUUGUGCUGCUCGAGUGCUAAGCUUUAAAUGCUUCCUCCUGCUCACCCACCCCAGGCUCCGGGCCACCAGGAACCACGUGUGAGCCCAGCCUUCCUCUGGCACACACUCCAGGCAGUCUUUUCCUCGACUCCUCAGCACAGAGUGUGAACAAGCCUGCGUGUGUGCAUCUGAGUCACUCCUCCCAACGGCAGGAGUGGACUUCGCGGUGCGUCGGAGAUUUCUCUUCUCUCUCAGUGCCAGGGAGCUCAUGGCCCACAGAAGCAGCCAAUUCUGUUUUUGGAAACCAGCGCCUCCUAGAAAGAACAAACAAACAAGAUGACAAACUCCUAUUCAUCCCUCAAAGCCCAGCUCAGAUGUUACCUUCUCGUGGGAAGCCAUUCACGACUCUUCACCCAGAGACACUCCCCUCUGAGCAUCUCUCUACCUUGAACCUGCUUCUUUACAGCACCAAGUCCACCAUUUGAGCGUCGGUGAAACUCACUCACGUGGGACGGCACUGUGUCGUGGUUGCUUUGGGGAAUGGAAGGAAAGGCUGCAGCGUUCUUUGUUAGCCCAGGGCAGAGAGAAGACUCCAGUGGCAGGAGGCAAGACCCGGACGCGAUGGAGAAUUCCGCCGGACUGUGUUGUUUUCCUUCAAAUUUCAACCUACAUAAUUAUGUGAACAGCGUCUGAAAGCCGAUAAGCACCAGGAGGCCGGGAUCCUGUCUGAUUUCCCCCCCAUCCUCCCGCCAGCAUCACACUGCUGGCCCAGAAAAGGUGCUCACCGGAUAUUUGCUGAAGACCUUUGCCACUGUGUGACUGAGGAGUAUUAGCUGUGUGGGGAUGCCAGUGUGCCCUACACGAACAAAGGCGAGUGUGGGGCAUGCAUGGAGAAAAUUAAAAGGUAUGUUUUCUUUAUUUUUUUUUCUUUCUCUUUCUCUUUCUCUCCUUCCUGCCUUCCUUCCUUCUUUCUUUCUUUCUCUCUGUUUCUUUCCUUUCUCUCUCUGUCUCUCUCCCUCUUUCCCUCUCUCUCUU